AUUUCUUUGAUGUUCAUGAAACAGCAUUGUUGGGUUACUUCAUCCAGAUCCUCCUCCUUCCCACCUUGCAGGGGCAAGUGAGAAAUAUAGCAAGACACCCUGGAUACACAUCUAUCAUGAACCAGAGAGGGCCGCAACAGGGCCUGGUGCUUAAAUAUGUCAAGGCUCUAAAGCCAGGUUUGGUUUACAUUACCUUUCACAGUGGUAGAGUUGUCUCUUCUCUAGAAAGUAGUGGGUUCAUUUAAUUCUUGAACGUCAAAACAUAAUUACAAAAAAUACGUAUGACAAAACAAUAUUCUAAGAAACUUAAUAGUGAAUAGUUUUUAAAAUUAGAAAAUCAUUUUCUGGUAUAAAGAAUCACCUCCUUGUGGAGGAAUGCUUUGUUCUGUGAGGGGUUUUCUUAAACAAGAGCAUGGGGUCCAUCAGUCUCCUAAGACAGCCAAUCCUCCCCCACCAUAUGACAUUUUCAGAGAUCCCAUGAGUGUUGUGAGCAGCCUUCAUCAAUUAUCUGAGACGCAGUUUGAGGGGUUAUAUUUUUGCAGACAAUAAUUCCCAUUUAACUGAUUAAAAUCCUCUAAACUCUGAAAGUUAUACAUAGCUACCCUGGAGAAUGCAGGGGUUAGCUUUUUCCUUUCUGACUUUAAGAUGAAGCUCUGGGACAGCAUAUCUGGUGCUCAAUCCACAGUGAUUCACUUUCCAGGGAGAAACCACAUGAUAUAAACUUCCAGGUGCUACAUCUUAGCCAUCAUACUUAAUGCUACUCUUAUUGAUUAUAUUGCUACUUUGUAUAUUAUUAUUUUAAGUUAUGUCAUUAAAAAUAAUAUGGUGAGAAAAGCACAUUUCUACCUAUCAUUGUUCUCCAAAGUGGUUGUAUGACACAUAUGGCCCAACCUACUUCCCUUCUAUGUCUCUGUGUUGCUUCACUACCCCUCCUGCUCCAGUGUUCUUAAGGGAUAUGCUGGUGGGUACCACCUUACUUAAAGUCAGACUGUAAUAAUAACCUGUCUUUUUGUGGCACCAAUAAAUGGCCAAACUCA
Molecule: long non-coding RNA, 1037 nt
Organism: Heterocephalus glaber (naked mole-rat)
Lineage: Eukaryota; Metazoa; Chordata; Mammalia; Rodentia; Bathyergidae
Source: Ensembl